Molecule: transfer RNA, 67 nt
Filed under: Anadara vellicata
Lineage: Eukaryota; Metazoa; Mollusca; Bivalvia; Arcoida; Arcidae
Description: tRNA-Pro
Source: RNAcentral
AGAUGAGUAGUUUAAAAGAAUAUGCGCCUUGGGAGCGUAAGGUCUACUUUGAGAGGUAGCUUGUCUG